Molecule: unclassified non-coding RNA, 240 nt
Filed under: soil metagenome
Description: partial contains 5.8S ribosomal RNA, internal transcribed spacer 2, and large subunit ribosomal RNA
Source: RNAcentral
AACCUAGCACACCUGCGGUGUGUACCUGCGGAGGGAUCAUUACAGAGUUGCAAAACUCCCUAAACCAUUGUGAACGUUACCUAAACCGUUGCUUCGGCGGGCGGCCCGGGUCCUUCCCGGCGCCCCUCGGCCCUCGCGGGCGCCCGCCGGAGGUAAACCAAACUAUUGCAUUGUAUGGCCUCUCUGAGUCUUCUGUACUGAAUAAGUCAAAACUUUCAACAACGGAUCUCAGAUCGGAAG